UGCCAGCAGCCGCGGUAAUACGAAGGGCCCGAGCGUUAUUCGGAAUCACUGGGCUUAAAGCGUACGUAGGCGGAUACAUAGGCACCCUGUGAAAUCCCACGGCUCAACCGUGGAACUGCUUGGUGAACCAUGUGUCUUGAGAUAGGUAGGGGCUGUCGGAACGCUAGGUGGAGCGGUGAAAUGCGUAGAUAUCUAGCGGAACGCCAAAGGAGAAAUCAGGCAGCUGGGCCUAUUCUGACGCUGAGGUACGAAAGCGUGGGGAGCGAACGGGAUUAGAUA
This 279-nucleotide ribosomal RNA is filed under the name uncultured bacterium. Its description in RNAcentral is "partial 16S ribosomal RNA". It matches the Rfam family "Bacterial small subunit ribosomal RNA", at positions 506 to 784 of the family's 1533-position model. The record is from RNAcentral.